RNAcentral lists this unclassified non-coding RNA (5205 nucleotides) under Chelonus insularis. RNAcentral describes it as "jNK-interacting protein 3, transcript variant X9". The record is from RNAcentral. Lineage: Eukaryota; Metazoa; Arthropoda; Insecta; Hymenoptera; Braconidae.
CUGAUUCUGCGCUUUUGUUGCACAUAUAUAUUUUAUUAUUUUCAAGACUCGAUAAAAUAGAUAAAACGCAGUAUCAAUUUGCCAAAUGGCAGUGGGUGGUAAUUUGGGGAUCUGCAAGGAAGUGAAGGAAGUUGAAGCAGAUGUGAAGAGUAGUGCAGAGUGUACGAAUUUAGUAUUUUAUUACGUGGUGGUUUCAUUUUGAUCUGUCAGUGUAUCAGCCCACACUAAGCUGCAUAAGUUGUUAGAAAAUGAAGCAAUAAACAAUGGUGAUAGUCAUUGUAUAGGAACAUUUAUUUAGUGAGAGUGUAAAGGCUGACAAAUGUCAUCCCUUUGAUCAGAUUUCUCGGAUUAGAAAUGUCAUCUCUAAUACGCUUGGCUGAUACUUGUUUCGUCUGACCGAGCAAGUGCUUCAUGGAAGAGUGUGCUUGAACGGUGCUCCAUCCUAGAAAAAUCUUAGAAAGACCAGUAGUUGCGAAACGUCACAACAGAGCAGUCCACGUAGAGUUUCUAGUAAAAUUUUAAAUCAUGGACCAAGAAACAGUUUACGGCACCCACGAGGACAGUCAUGUGGUAAUGUCUGAAAAAGUUCAAUCGUUAGCUGGCAGCAUUUAUCAAGAGUUUGAGAGAAUGAUAGCAAGAUAUGAUGAGGAUGUUGUCAAAGAACUAAUGCCACUCUUAGUCAACGUAUUGGAAUGUUUAGAUAUCGCUUACACUGAAAAUCAAGAGCAUGAAGUUGAGUUAGAAUUGCUGAGAGAAGAUAAUGAGCAAUUAGUUACUCAAUAUGAAAGAGAAAAGCAGCUAAGAAAAGCAUCGGAUCAGAAAUUAUUAGAGCUUGAAGACAUAGCAGAAGAUGAAAGAAAGGAGUUGCUAGCAAAAAUUGAUAGUUUAGAAACAAUUCUUAAAAUGCUGGAGCUAAAGACGAAAAAUUCACAUGAUCAUGUUGUUCGUCUUGAAGAAAAAGAGGCAGAAUUAAAACGUGAAUAUGCACGAUUACAUGAACGAUAUACCGAAUUGUUCAAAACUCACGUUGAUUAUAUGGAAAGAACUAAAUUGCUCGUGGGAAGUAGUGAAAGAUUAGAAAAUACAACAAACAACCGUCCUCCUCGAUAUCCUGGUUUGAAUUUAGCUCAUAUGUCACGAAGCUCUGGGCCUCUCAGUUAUGGAUUCCAAAGUUUAGAAGCUAGUAUGAAUGCCGAAGAUAUUCAGGAAGAAAGUCCAACCCAUACUGCAAGUUUAAAAUCAGAAAUGCAGGACAGCAGUGGUGAAGCAGUAAUUGAAACAUCAGAUAAAAGCCAAUUAACUGAUAAUCCACCUCAAGAGAAUAAAACUACAACUGUUUCAAAGCUCUUUGCAGAUGAAAGUCCAGAAACUGAAGUACCUCCUGUUGUUGCUACUCCAACAACUCCAGUUGUCGACAAGGUAGCAACAACUCCCAGUGGUAGAAGUAGAACAGAACGAGAGCAACGUAGUGGAAAUACUUUGUAUCAAGAACUUAGUUUUCAAGAUGCUGACGCUUUGGGAGAAAUGGAUGAAGGAGCAGAUAUUACUGGCAGUUGGGUUCAUCCAGGAGAGUACGCUUCGUCGGUCAAUGACAACUUCUUCGGUAUGGGCAAAGAAGUUGAGAAUCUCAUUAUGGAAAACAAUGAAUUAUUGGCAACAAAGAAUGCGCUGAACAUCGUUAAAGACGAUCUGAUAGCUAAAGUGGAUGAACUAACAAGUGAACAAGAAAUUCUUCGUGAUGAAGUAAGAGCACUACAUCAAGCACGAGAUCGACUUCGUCAUAAAGUAUCAGCUUUAGAAGGAGAGCUGAAGAAAGUAAAAGAAGAGAGUGAAGCUAUGGCUAAAACAACUAAGAGUGAUGAUGAAGAAGAUGUUCCACUUGCUCAAAGAAAACGGUUUACUCGUGUAGAAAUGGCAAGAGUACUUAUGGAGAGGAAUCAAUAUAAAGAACGAUUCAUGGAACUUCAAGAAGCUGUGAGAUGGACUGAAAUGAUUCGAGCCAGUAAGACAGAUCCAGCGAGUAUAUCUGGAGGCAAACAGUCUGUCUGGAAGUUUUUUAGUAAUCUUUUUACCGGUCCAGCUGAUCGGGGGACACUACAUAGAAAUCCUCAUACCUUACCGCAUAUAAGGUAUAGCGCUCCGUCAAAUCAAGUAGUGCCAGCUCCACCGUUAGAUGCAAUGCGUAAGCGUACAUUAAAAAAUCGCCAUGAAUUUCUCGACCAAGGAGAUACGAUCUCAUCUGAAAAACGAGUGGCUAGACUUGCCAAUGAAAGAAAAGAACAAUAUCGACAAGUAAGAGCACACGUGAGAAAAGAAGAUGGACGUUUGCAAGCUUAUGGAUGGAGUUUACCUGGAAAACCUAGUGCUCCUGCGAGACAACCUGUUCCAGUUCCUGUUUAUUGUCGUCCUCUUCAAGAAACAGAACCUGGAAUGAAGAUUUGGUGUGGAGCCGGCGUAAACUUAAACGGUGGGAAAACUCGUGAUGGAGGACUUGCAAUAGGAGGAAGUGUAUUUUAUGCAGAUGAAGCAAAAGAGACUCCCAUGGUUGAAGGAAAAGUAGAAGACGCUGUUGAACAUUUGGAUAAAGAGUUGCAAGAGAAUGAACAGCGUCGCCUUGAAGCAGAAAGACAAGACCAGCAAUUAAGCUCCCUUGUAUGGAUUUGUACGUCGACUCAAAAGAUGUCCAAAGUCACUGUGAUAGAUGCAAAUAAUCCAGCUGAUAUCUUAGAAGUUUUCAAUGUGUGUCAGAGUCAUUUACUCUGUAUAGCGAGUGUUCCUGGUGCAAAAGAGAGUGAUUAUAUUCACAAUGUUGAAGAAUCUACACAACGGAUAGUAAAUGGAACAAAUGAAGUAGACUUAGUUAACAUUCAGGUCCAACGUGCCAAUGAUGAGCAAAUUGUUGCUGAAGAAGCUACUGUAACUGAAGAAAAAAACUGCCUAAAAGCGGGAGAUUCUGAUGAUCGCAGUCAAGCAACUUCAGAGGGUCCGAGUUCUCUAGAAGAAAAACCUAGUGAAAGCUCAGAGAAAAAAACUGAUGUAGAUCAGAGCUCAAAUACAGAACCCCAAAGCUUAGAAAAUGUUGACAGUGAUUCUAUUAAUAUAGGAAAAGUACAUUUUGUUAAAAGUAAUAUUGAAACUCUAUCAAUCACAAACACUGUAAGUGAAUCUGAAGCACCACAAACUGCCGAAAAUGAUACUCCUAUUGAAAAAAUGUCGUCAAUACAGCCAACAAUGUGGCUUGGAGCACAGAAUGGAACUGUUUAUGUGCACUCAGCUGUUGCUAAAUGGUCUAUUUGUUUACAUACUGUUACGCUCAAAGAUGCUGUUUUAUCCAUAGUUCAUGUUCAGGGAAGAGUGCUGGUAGCUCUUGCUGAUGGGACAGUGGCAAUAUUUCGACGAGGAUCCGAUGGUCAAUGGGACUUAUCUCAACACCACAUUAUUACUUUAGGCAGUCCGCAACAUGCCAUUAGAUGUAUGACAGCCGUCUCAGGGAAAACAGUCUGGUGUGGAUAUAGAAAUAAGAUUCAUGUGAUUGACCCCAUUCUCAUGAGUCUCGAGUGUACCGUUGACGCACAUCCAAGGAGAGAGUCUCAAGUCAGACAAUUAGCAUGGCUUGGAGAAGGAGUUUGGGUCAGCAUUCGACUCGAUUCUACAUUGAGGCUGUAUCAUGCUCACACUUAUCAGCAUCUGCAAGAUGUAGACAUUGAGCCUUAUGUCAGCAAAAUGCUCGGCACUGGCAAACUCGGGUUUUCAUUUGUACGAAUCACUGCAUUACUCAUUUCUUCAAACAGACUGUGGAUUGGAACGGGAAACGGUGUCAUCAUAUCUGUACCAUUAUCAGAAAGUGCUGGAGGAUCUUUAGCUGUGUCUAGAGUACAAAGUAUGGGUGGUAAAGGUGAUGCUCCAGGAGUAGGAGUUCGAGUAUUCGCUUCGGAAAAAGGUGUCACUCCCGGAAGUUUUAUUCCUUACUGCAGUAUGGCUCAUGCUCAACUUAGUUUCCAUGGCCACCGUGAUGCUGUGAAAAUGUUUGUUGCAGUUCCGGGACAUGGAGGUCAGAGUGCCAUUUCAGAUGGUACACAGCCAGCAAUGUUGGUAUUAUCAGGUGGAGAAGGCUACAUAGAUUUCCGUGUGGGUGAUGGUGACGAAAUUGAGGAAGGAUUGGAGCGUACAAACAUUUCAGCGACUAGUCAUGAGGAACAUGGAGAACAAAGUCAUCUGAUUGUUUGGCAGGUUCAAUCACCUGUCCACAUGAACGGCUAGCCUAUUGGUUAAAAAAAAAUUUUCUUAGGGUGCAUAGAAUAAAUAAAUUAAUAAUUCAAGAGAACAGAUAGACUGCAAGAGUUAUCAAUAACUCAGCAGCAAGACAGUGAAGUUUAUCAGAGCUCUUAAGUGUCUAAGAGCAAUUAUGAUAGAAUUACUUCUUCGACAAACGAAGAAAACGUAACUGUCCAAUUUAUUUAUUUAGAUGUGAUCAUGAUAAGACAGAUUAAUUAUUGUAGGCUAUGACAGCGAAUAAUAGUAAUGAUGACGCUUGUUUGUUCCAAAAAUUGAACAUUGACUAAUUUUUAUCAGAAUAAUUAAUUGAAACAAUCAGUUUUUAAUUGAUAUAAAAAUUAUUAGAUGAAAAUAUUUCACGCCUAUAUGCGUCCCUUUUUGUACGAAGCGAUAGUAAGUUGUCAAGACAUAGAUAAUUAAUUAGUAAAUGAAAAAUUAUCAAACUUUAUGAAGCAUCUUAUAGAAAGCAUUGCAUUUGAAAAAUUCUUUAUCUCGAGCUUUGUAUAACAAAAAUCGCUUUCAUUGGUAUCAUAAUGUACGUGUAUACGUAUAUAGAUUAUUGAAUUGGUUUCACACUAAUAGAGUUUUAAAUUAUCAAUAAAUUAUGUAAACAUAAAUUUCGUAAAAUCUUGUAGGGAGAUUGAGAUAAAUGUUUUCUCUAUUUUUUUAAUUCAAUUUUCUUAUUUAAUUUUUUUAAUAUUUACUUUACAGGAAACUAGUCGCGGAUAUUCUAUCUUAUUUAUUAACCGCAAUGUUAACUAUUAAUGUUUAAAUAAUAUUUCUCAUAACCGUGACAUUGAGACUUGGAAGAUAAAAAAAGGAUAUAAUUGAUCAUUUUUAACGAUAACUACAUAUGCUUAUCAGACCUUCUAUGACCUUGCAAAACUUCGUAGUUUAUGCUAACUCGUCGACUAUCCCAACAAAUCGUGA